RNAcentral lists this ribosomal RNA (309 nucleotides) under Triticum aestivum (bread wheat). Its description in RNAcentral is "partial small subunit ribosomal RNA". Lineage: Eukaryota; Viridiplantae; Streptophyta; Magnoliopsida; Poales; Poaceae. The record is from RNAcentral.
AUGGGUGGAAUUUAUCAUGAGAUCCUACCCAAAUCCGAGUACUUCUCCAAGGCACUGUACACCUUCCAUUUCGCCCAAAACGAUCUCUCUGUGGGCUACUUCACCAAUAAGACUACCAAACAGAUUGAGGCCUAUGACCCCGAUCCUAAGGAGCGGUUCACUGUGGCAAUGCAGAAACUCCGCGGAAAGCUGCUGCAGAUAGGUGUUGUGCUGGUAUAUUCUUUCUGUAGCCUUUGUUCAGCAAAUGCCAAAAUAGUGUUUCUUUCAUGCGCACAUCGUUUCGUUUGGAGUUUUGCCCACUUGAUCUGA